GAUGAAGAACGUAGCGAAAUGCGAUACUUGGUGUGAAUUGCAGAAUCCCGUGAACCAUCGAGUCUUUGAACGCAAGUUGCGCCCGAAGCCACUAGGCCGAGGGCACGCCUGCCUGGGCGUCACACGUCGUUGCCCCCCCAUCUACUCCUUCGGGAUUGCGGGGGGGCGGAUGAUGGCCUCCCGUGCGCCUAGCCGCGCGGUUGGCAUAAAUACCAAGUCCUCGGCGACGCACGCCACGACAAUCGGUGGUUGCGAAACCUCGGUUGCCCGUCGUGUGCGUUCGUCGCGCAUCGAGGGCUCGAAAAAAUGCUCGGCUUCGGCUCCGCUUUCAACGCGACCCCAGGUCAGGCGGGGUUACCCGCUGAAUUUAAGCAUAUCAAUAAGCGGAGGA
Molecule: unclassified non-coding RNA, 391 nt
Filed under: soil metagenome
Description: partial contains 5.8S ribosomal RNA, internal transcribed spacer 2, and large subunit ribosomal RNA
Rfam family: 5.8S ribosomal RNA (bases 1-122)
Source: RNAcentral